GAAGUCCAUUCAUCUAAAUUCAGGUUUUGCGAGAGACUUACCAGGUUUUGGAGUUGCGAGAUAACAUGGGGGUAAAUACCUUUCUAUAUCUCAUUAAAUAUACCAGCUCACUCAUGCCUUAUUAUAACUAAGAAUUUAAAGAAGUGGAAGUAAUUCUAAGUUCAGGGGUUUCUUUUGACAUCAUUAUUCAUUAUGCAUAUAGGAGAAUCUAUUAUGCCAUGACUAAAGAAUUUGAGAGACUUUACAUACAAAUGAAAGAAUGGUAACCAGAGCUCAGUCUUUUACCUCAAUAUUCUUUUCAUUCCCCCUAUUGUAAACCCUUUCUUUAUGAAGUUAUUUAUUUUAUAUCGAUCUAUCGCUGUAUAUUAAUAUCAUUUGAAGGUUGUUAUAUGAGAAGUAUCACUAAAUCACAUCUGUUGAUAUUGUUUCAUGAUGAUUAUCAUCACACUGAAGCAUUGAAGAUCUUUCCUCUGCUUGUGCCCUUGCUCGUUGCAUGUUCUAUGAUUGGUUUCUCAUUAUAUCCUCACAUCUGCAAAGCUUGAAGCUUUUUUAUAACUUAAAGACAGUUAAAUGUGGUGUUGCUCGUUUUCUGUGAUGUUUUCAGAUUGGUGGAGGAAGUUUUGAGAAUUUACAAACGCGAGGUCCAACAAAAAAUUUUGGAAACUGUUGACAUCUCCGCUGAACGAGUCAGAAAACUUUUAAUUUAACUAUUUUGCAGGUGUACUGGUUGCUUUUAUGUGAAAUUUUCAUUGUUGGCCUUUAGUUCGUUCGAAGAAGUAAGAUCUGACGUUUGACCACAAGGUUCAUUAUAUCAGCUUUUUUAACUCUGUUUUUUUAUUUCAUUCUUGUCUAUUGGUUAUAAUACAGUGGUGGCUUGGGGAGUUACUGCAACACCCCAAAUUUAUCCUUGGUUGAAUUUAUCUAUUUAUUUUAUAACUGCGUAUGUUUAUUUUAUUAUUAUUGUCGUUGUUUUAAUUGCUCUAAGCUUCCCCUGUUGUUUUUUUUUUUAAUCUAUAAAUAUUAUAAGGUGUCUUUAUUCUUUGGUUAAGUUCUGUAACAAACAAAAUCAACGUUCGGUAAUAAUAAUAAAAAAAAAGAAGAGGGAGAAAGUAAUUCCUUUUGUGAAGAACCCAUUUUGGUACUAAAGGUAGGUUGAUAACCCACAGCGAAAGGCAUUCUACUCAAUAAGGCGGAUACCUCGGAAUAGCAGAGAGAGAACGAGAAAAAUAAAAAAAUAAAAAAAGAGAGGAGAGGAAGAUAAAGAAAUGGAGGGAAAGAGAGCAAUUGGGUUUUAGAGAGAAUAGUUGUGCAUUUAAGGGAGCUGAGAACAACAGCAAGUAUGAAAUUUCUGGGAAACCAACAUGAGUUUGGCUGGAUUUUCUCAUAACUCUAAUCCUUUAGACCUGGUUUGGGUAAAUUUCUGUGCAUGCAUGGUUCAAUUUUCAAGUCUUGUUACUUUUAUUAAUGUUUUUUUUUCACUUACUUUUCUUAAUUGUUUCCUUUCUGCUGCUGCAACUCACAGCAAGUUUAGGAUUAUGUUAAAUUUGGGAUUCUUAAAUUAUUGGCAGUAUGGUUGGUUAAUUUUUGUAUUACCAAUAGGAAGUGGAGUUAGAGAAGAAGAGAAGUCUUUGGAGAACUAGGAGCUGUUGUUGCAGGAUUAAAGGAGGUGUUUAUAUGCAAUUGAGUGCUUUUGUUACUCAAAACUGAAAAAUCAGGUUGUUUUUCUUGCUUGAUCAUGUAAAUAUUUUUUUUUUUUGGGUCCUUAUAAGUUGUUUUGCUGAGAUUUAAUGUGCUAAUGGCUUAAUUGCUUCCUUUAAUAAUUAAUGCAGUGGGUGUAUGGGUAGCCAUUUAAUUACAUGACUAUGUGGCUAAAAUAAACAAUUGACAUGUUAGAAUUAUCAACAGGAUUGCGAGUUUUAAUUGAAGACCGUGUAUUGUUAUUACUUGAAUCAGUUAUGAUAGUUAAUUUGGUUGAUACAUUCAUGAAUGAGAAUUAAACUUUAACGGUGAUAUAGCCAAGUUUGGAAUAGGAAGUGUAGCUGAAUUGUGUUUAUGUAUCCUGCAAUGGUAUGGUGUUUUUUUUGCAGUUUUAAGUUUGUGGAUGUGUUGUUAAACUGGGGAUGUGCUGAGGCUCUGUUAUCUAUAACUAUUGUUAUUGAGAAGCAUCAUGUGUCUGAUGUGUCAUUGUAAGGAAACUUACAUUGAUGCUAUUGAAUGAAUUAAUAAUUUUUAUUCCUGAAGUUGAGGUUUGAGAAGGUUGAUUGGUGAUAGACGGAUUUCCUGUCCCGCGGUGAAGCCCGCAAAAGAAAUUAUGGGCGAUGGCCCCUGGGAAUAAUGCCCCAAAAGUUCGCUAUGCUGGAUUGACCUAUGUCAGAUUUCUAUCCCGCGGUGAAAGUCUACAAAAGAAAUCAUGGGCGGUGGCCCUGGGAAUAAUGCCCCAAAAAUAUGUAGGGUAUUUCUUUUCAA
This 2466-nucleotide long non-coding RNA is filed under the name Citrus x clementina. RNAcentral's name for it is "Citrus clementina (C. clementina) long non-coding RNA (CCLE_LNC000169)". Lineage: Eukaryota; Viridiplantae; Streptophyta; Magnoliopsida; Sapindales; Rutaceae. The record is from RNAcentral.